AACCUUUAAAUUGUUUUAAAAAAAUGUUGAUAAAAAUAAGUUGAAUACUUGGCGGCAGAAACCUACUUGAACAGAAGGUCUAGAUAACACAGGUGACUCAAAAAUCGAAAAACUCUAGCUUUGUUUACAAUUUAAAAAAAUCUCACUGUAUCAAUUUGUUUCAAGAGGUAAUGAAAUCAUAUGAUUUGAACCAAUUAUUAUUUUCAACAUCUUUAAAAUUUUAGAGGGAUUCGAAAUAAUAAUGUGAAAUUGCUUAUUUCUUAAAUAAGGGUACUUACUGAGUGCGAAAUGGUCGACUUUAAGGGAAGGUGCGGAAAAUGCAGGAGAAACACUACAGCAAUUAAUCCCGGAUUGGUGUGCGCCAGCUGCCAUUUGGCUUUUCACGCAGACUGUCACUUACCCCCUAUGACAAUACGUGAGUUGAAAACGGUAGCUAUCACGGAUCCUCAAUGGGUGUGCAAAAAAUGCCAAAAGGAUCGAAAGGACAUCCCGGUGAUUAUGCGACCAAAAGAUGACCUCAUCGAUCUUUCGAUGAGGAUGGACAUGAUAAUCGAAGUGCGGGAGUUGCUAGAGCUGGCAGAACUGGCCUUAGACCAACUACAGGAGAAACAUGAUAAUUUAGUCAAACUGAACAAAUUUCUGCAGCAUGAGAACCUGAUACUAACAAAGCGGCUGAACAGGCUGGACGAAGCGUACAAAUUUAAGGUCGAAUUGCUUGAUCAAAUGACCAAACACAAAGCCACUCUCAAAGCAGAGGAAGCGGAAAAAUUAAAAUAUGAAGAUAAAAAAGAACCUACUGAAAAAAAAGAUUUAGAAGAGAAGAAAGAAGAAGAACUUGUUACAAAAGAUUUUACUACAUUUGCUAAGUAUGCAGGUCUUAACAAAAGUGAACGGGCUGCUUUUACUAUGCAAGGGCAUUUGAAAAAACUUUCCAAAACAUGGUUUACCCACCUGUGCCUGUUUCUCUGCGUUAUUAUAUACACUUGUGUUGGAGGACUCAUUUUCCAUUUAUUAGAAAAGGACAAGGAUUUGAGUGCAACUCCACACGGUAAAGAACAGUUGAUCACGGAAUACUCUUCUUUAUUAGCAGGGGAUUCGGACAAAAAUGUAACGUUGAAAAAGUUCGAAGGAGACGUGCGAUCCUUGCUUGUAUGGGAAGCCAAACUGCAACGAGGAGAAGAUGAACUUAAAUGGGGAUAUUUUGCGAGUGUUUUUUUCUGCGGGACCGUUUAUACAACCAUAGGUUACGGCCAUAUGUACCCAGAAACAGUUUUUGGGAAAAUAACGGUGAUCAUAUAUGCAACGAUAGGAAUUCCUCUCUUUUUACUCGCCCUCGCUGAUUUCGGUACUGCUCUUACUCGCUGGAUAAAAGGCAUGUGGAAUAUACUAUUGCGGUACAAUUGCAGUAAAUGUUGUAAGAAAAAGCUUAGCGACAGUGAGGAAAGACCAGUUAAUAAAGACGUUAAUUUGCCUGUAACGGUAGCGCUAGUGAUAGAACUAAUUUAUUUAGUAAUUGGUUCGGUUCUAUUCCACUUCUGGGAAGGAUGGUCAUUCCUCGAUUCUUUCUACUUUGUGUUCGAGUCUAUGGCAACCAUUGGAAUCAAGUCUACUUAAUAUUUACCAUGUUUUACAUACUUAUUGGUCUGGCGUUAAGUUCUAUGACAAUUAACGUCGUGAGGGAAAAAAUGGUGGAGACUAUGAACAAAACGAGCGCCAAAAUUGGGCAGACGCUCGAAACGUAUGUGGACGAAUUGAGCACGGAAAUUUCCAGAACUGAAAGCUUGGGAUUAACUGAAGAAAAUAGGAGGUGGAGAAGGUCAAC
Molecule: unclassified non-coding RNA, 1822 nt
Filed under: Cimex lectularius (bed bug)
Lineage: Eukaryota; Metazoa; Arthropoda; Insecta; Hemiptera; Cimicidae
Description: potassium channel subfamily K member 9-like, transcript variant X3
Source: RNAcentral